GCGAACGCUGGCGGCAGGCUUAACACAUGCAAGUCGAGCGCGUGUAGCAAUACACGAGCGGCAGACGGGUGAGUAACGCGUGGGAACGUACCUUCUGGUUCGGAAUAACUCAGGGAAACUUGAGCUAAUACCGGAUAAGCCCUUCGGGGGAAAGAUUUAUCGCCGGAAGAUCGGCCCGCGUAAGAUUAGCUUGUUGGUGAGGUAACGGCUCACCAAGGCUACGAUCUUUAGCUGGUCUGAGAGGAUGAUCAGCCACAUUGGGACUGAGACACGGCCCAAACUCCUACGGGAGGCAGCAGUGGGGAAUAUUGGACAAUGGGCGCAAGCCUGAUCCAGCCAUGCCGCGUGAGUGAUGAAGGCCUUAGGGUUGUAAAGCUCUUUUAGCAGGGACGAUAAUGACGGUACCUGCAGAAAAAGCCCCGGCCAACUUCGU
This 433-nucleotide ribosomal RNA is filed under the name uncultured bacterium. Its description in RNAcentral is "bacterial SSU rRNA". It matches the Rfam family "Bacterial small subunit ribosomal RNA", at positions 29 to 506 of the family's 1533-position model. The record is from RNAcentral.